RNAcentral lists this non-coding RNA (32 nucleotides) under Mus musculus (house mouse). The record is from RNAcentral. Lineage: Eukaryota; Metazoa; Chordata; Mammalia; Rodentia; Muridae.
CCCAAAGUUAGGGGUAGCCCAAACCUAGGAAU